AAGCAGUGGACCUUCCUUUUUUCCUCCAGGAGUGUGGUGGAAAAACCCUAGAUCACUUUCUUGGAUUCUUAUUACCCAAGUUACCAAGAAGACUGUAAGGCAUUUGAUGACCAAAUUAGAAGUGAUGAAAGGCAAGGAGAAGGCAUGACCAGGAAAGAUUACUACGGAUAAGUUUUCAUUUUCUUCUUUUGAUCAUUGUGGCUGAGAAGAUAGGAAACUGUGCACCCUGCUGUUUAGUAAACAUCAACACAUUGGACCCUCACUGACUGCACAGGACACCGGAUACGCAGAGCAGACAAAGCAAGGGGUUCUGGAGCUACAAUUCAAAUAUCAACACUAACACUGGUUUGUGUGAUGUUGGACAGAUUGCUGUCUUUCUACACUUCAAUGAUAUCCUCUGUAACAACAUAAUGAUAGUUGACCAGAGCAUCUAUAAAAUAAAUGAUUCCAUGGAUUGAUCGAGUUUACAACCUUGUAGCUCAUCAAACAGAAGGGAUGCCUUUGAAGAAGUGGGGGAGAAAAUAAAGGAGAUAUGCCACAUCACCAUAAUGGA
Eptesicus fuscus (big brown bat) is the source of this 553-nucleotide long non-coding RNA. RefSeq lists it as uncharacterized. The record is from RefSeq and is a predicted model, not a curated record. The transcript is spliced from 5 exons. Lineage: Eukaryota; Metazoa; Chordata; Mammalia; Chiroptera; Vespertilionidae.